UACGUAGGUGACAAGCGUUAUCCGGAAUUACUGGGCGUAAAGCGCACGCAGGCGGUGCGUUAAGUCUGACGUGAAAUCUCUCAGCUUAACUGGGAGGGGUCGUUGGAGACUGGCGGACUUGAGGCGAUGAGAGGGGUGUAGAAUUCCCGGUGUAGUGGUGGAAUGCGUAGAUAUCGGGAGGAAUACCAGUGGCGAAAGCGGCACCCUGGCAUUGGCCUGACGCUCAUGUGCGAAGGCGUGGGGAGCGAAC
Molecule: ribosomal RNA, 250 nt
Filed under: uncultured bacterium
Lineage: Bacteria
Description: partial 16S ribosomal RNA
Rfam family: Bacterial small subunit ribosomal RNA
Source: RNAcentral